GCUUAACGUUUUUGACAUUUUGACGUCUCAUUAUUUCUCUAUUUUUAUAGUUUAUAUUCUGAAGCAAAAUGAUACAUAAUGCGUUAUACAGAAGACUGAAUAUGAAUUAUAUUGUGUAUUCCCAUGUAGCAGCAAAAAUUGUUAGAAGAUGUUUAAAAAAAGAAUACAAACGAUCUGCUUCAGAAAGAGAAAGGAGUGUUAUCAAAAUUUAUAAUUUUCAGCUGGGUAAGAAAGCUGACGAAGUUGAAACUUUGAAGAUCAAUUCUUCUAAGGAGAAUAUCGUGGAUGAAAAAGUAAAAAUUGUACAAUAUAACUGAUGUCACAUGGCCAUAAACGAAUAUAAAAAAUAUCGAGGCUC
Leptinotarsa decemlineata (Colorado potato beetle) is the source of this 358-nucleotide long non-coding RNA. RefSeq lists it as uncharacterized. Lineage: Eukaryota; Metazoa; Arthropoda; Insecta; Coleoptera; Chrysomelidae. The record is from RefSeq and is a predicted model, not a curated record.